This is a non-coding RNA of Mayamaea pseudoterrestris, 73 nucleotides long. The record is from the annotation of a GenBank genome assembly. NCBI's taxonomy places the organism in Eukaryota, Bacillariophyta, Bacillariophyceae, Sellaphorales, Sellaphoraceae.
GGGAGCUUAGCUCAGUUGGUAGAGCGUCCGCUUCGCAUGCGGAAGGUCUAGGGUUCGAUUCCCUAAGUUUCCA